Molecule: long non-coding RNA, 550 nt
Filed under: Dicentrarchus labrax (European seabass)
Lineage: Eukaryota; Metazoa; Chordata; Actinopteri; Moronidae
Description: lncRNA (ENSDLAG00005032026.1)
Source: RNAcentral
AGUGUCUGCCCUUUUCCAAACAGUUACCAACAAGGACUUCCCAGAUGGUUCUGUGUAACAAUCGGAUGCAGUCAGGAAUCUGUGAAGAAGCAGCUUUUGAAAAAGGUCCAGAAUGUGACACCCCCCAAAAAGAAGCAGGGAGCAACUCCUUCAAGAAAGAGGCGACGGGGCAUUAGCUUUGAGAGCAGCAGCAGCCAGGAGUCAUCUGCUGAUGACACCGAGUCCACUGCUUCAACUUUAAUCUUGGAAAGAUCACCACAGUCAAUAGGCAGUUCUCCAGAGGCUGAACAAGUGGAUGGAGGGCCUAAAACGACUGACAGCGCACAGAACCAGGCAAGACACUACAAAGUUCUGCAGGAGCUAUACAAAUCCAGGCCCAGACCCAACAGCAAGGAUGUUGCCCAGCUGUUGGACCUUGAAUACCAAGCAAGACGGGCUUAUAUUGACACUGAUGUUAUGAAGGAGCAGGACAGGCCUACCAAGAUUCUUGAAGCAUAUCCCUGCUUCAGAGAAGUGGAUCAUGUAAGCAAAUCAAAUCAUUUUAAGUUUG